This 1708-nucleotide long non-coding RNA is filed under the name Pan troglodytes (chimpanzee). RNAcentral describes it as "lncRNA (ENSPTRG00000053819.1)". Lineage: Eukaryota; Metazoa; Chordata; Mammalia; Primates; Hominidae. The record is from RNAcentral.
GGGGGAGGGAUUCAAGUCAUCAGCAAAAUAAAUGGUAGCCCCCAGAUUUUAGAGCUUAGCCAAGGGUUUGUCCAUCUGCAAAACAAGGUCUGGCACUACACCCCCACAGAAGAACAAAUUGCACAGCUUAUGGUUCAGAAGGCUGCACAGGAAGAGAUAGUACUCUCCAUUUACCAAAUGUUUUCUGACUCUUUCCGCUAAUCGGGAAUCUCCAUUAGAAAGUGACACCAGGUGUGUGUCACUGAGGUUCACCCACUCUCAGGCCUGCUGGUGCCUUCCAGACCCUUUGAUCCUCUGUUCCCAUUGUCUCCUGAAACCAAUCCUUUCCAUUUUGUAUUUUUCCUUCUAGAUCACCUGAUACCUCCAAGCAAGCAGGUGUUCUUUUCAGAAGCCAGAAGCUGAUAACCUGGGCUUUCUGAUCUAACCCCAGCCCAAAUUCAUUGCAAUGGAGGAAUUGGGGAGGAGAUUCUUCCUACUGAGAAGUGGGUGCCAACUCUCCCUUUCAAAUUUGUUCAUCAACUAACUAAAGGGGAUGCCAGAAAUGUCUGGAGCAAUGGAAGAACCACUGGAAUAAUGCUCCUGCCUGAUUGCAUCUACUUAACCCACUCUCCAAGAGCCAGAAUCAGAUUUCAACCGUAUGGAAUCAUCUACAAUGCAGCAGAUGGGUUUACAAGUCUCUUGGUCUCUUCGUGUAAUUAACAGCCAAGAAGUCUAAAGCUUGCAUUGUUUACGUGGAAGAUGUUUCUUGCCCAUUCCCACGCCAUGCCAUCUGAAAUCGCUCCUUUUUUUAUUUUUUCUGUGCAGUUUUUUUAACUUUGUGGGAUCCUCUGCAUAUAAAACUCCAUUCAACUACUUCAUCCUACUGUAGAAAGCUACUUCCCUAUGAGUUUAGCUCCAUGAUUUACAAUGGUUUCUUUUCCCAUUUGCUGUCUGAAUUAUGUUUCGCAAGAACCCUUUGAAAUAAGGAAGGCAUGUAUCAUCUUUCCCUUUUACAGGCAAAGAAACUGAGGCACAGAAAGGCUUAGUAGUAGGUGAUCCUGCAAGAAUUCAAAUGACUUGUCUGGUUCUAAGUUGAGUGCUCUUUUUCUGAUGCCGCAUGUCUUUUCUCCAGAGAAGUAACCUACCUAGACCCAGAGGGAGCUUGAAGAGAGAUUUUCAUCUUACUGUGAGAAAACAAAGACCCAGAGAGUGGAGGGUUUAAGACCAUCCCGGUCAUUGCCAUUAUUUCUUUUCAAAGAGACAGAGGCCUCUGUGUGGAGCUGCUUCUGUGUUUGUGGUGUGAAUUUUGCUGGUGAGAUGUGAGACUCAAAAGAAAUCUGAGAGAUUGUGUCUGACCUUAAGGAAUUUACUAAGAAACCAGGGAAAUAAAGCUGUCUUACAAGAUGCUUAAAACAACAACUAAAGGCAGCCUUAGAUUGGGAGGUACUCCUUCCAAGAUAGAAAUUUCUUAACCUUUGCUUUGAAGUCUGGUUUCUUUUUCAAGAUCCAGAAGCAUAAUCCGUAGUUAGAUUUAGGUUCAAGCCCUUCCUAACUGAUCAUGUUCUAAAUUCCUAUAGUGGUCAUCAAUGUCAUGUCAGCUCAUGUGAAGGUUUUUUCUCCCUUUUUUUUUAGUGGUGAGGAAAAGAUGUAGUAGUAUUUUUCAUGGACUUUGCAGCCUUCUUCAUGGCAAAUAACUUAUUGGAUUAGUUUUCGGUUCUUUUUAAUCAAG